Molecule: ribosomal RNA, 492 nt
Filed under: uncultured bacterium
Lineage: Bacteria
Description: partial 16S ribosomal RNA
Rfam family: Bacterial small subunit ribosomal RNA
Source: RNAcentral
AGUGAACGCUGGCGGUAGGCCUAACACAUGCAAGUCGAACGGCAGCACAGUAAGAGCUUGCUCUUACGGGUGGCGAGUGGCGGACGGGUGAGGAAUACAUCGGAAUCUACUUUUUCGUGGGGGAUAACGUAGGGAAACUUACGCUAAUACCGCAUACGACCUACGGGUGAAAGCAGGGGAUCUUCGGACCUUGCGCGAUUGAAUGAGCCGAUGUCGGAUUAGCUAGUUGGCGGGGUAAAGGCCCACCAAGGCGACGAUCCGUAGCUGGUCUGAGAGGAUGAUCAGCCACACUGGAAAUGAGACACGGUCCAGACUCCUACGGGAGGCAGCAGUGGGGAAUAUUGGACAAUGGGCGCAAGCCUGAUCCAGCCAUACCGCGUGGGUGAAGAAGGCCUUCGGGUUGUAAAGCCCUUUUGUUGGGAAAGAAAAGCAGCAGGUUAAUACCCCGAUGUUCUGACGGUACCCAAAGAAUAAGCACCGGCUAACUUCGUG